Molecule: ribosomal RNA, 522 nt
Filed under: uncultured bacterium
Lineage: Bacteria
Description: bacterial SSU rRNA
Rfam family: Bacterial small subunit ribosomal RNA
Source: RNAcentral
ACUCNUACGGGAGGCAGCAGUGGGGAAUAUUGGACAAUGGGCGCAAGCCUGAUCCAGCAAUGCCGCGUGUGUGAAGAAGGUCUUCGGAUUGUAAAGCACUUUCGACGGGGACGAUGAUGACGGUACCCGUAGAAGAAGCCCCGGCUAACUUCGUGCCAGCAGCCGCGGUAAUACGAAGGGGGCUAGCGUUGCUCGGAAUGACUGGGCGUAAAGGGCGCGUAGGCGGAUGGCACAGUCAGAUGUGAAAUUCCCGGGCUUAACCUGGGGGCUGCAUUUGAUACGUGUUGUCUAGAGUGAGGAAGGGGUCGUGGAAUUCCCAGUGUAGAGGUGAAAUUCGUAGAUAUUGGGAAGAACACCGGUGGCGAAGGCGGCGACCUGGUCCUUGACUGACGCUGAGGCGCGAAAGCGUGGGGAGCAAACAGGAUUAGAUACCCUGGUAGUCCACGCUGUAAACGAUGUGUGCUGGAUGUUGGGCGACCUAGUCGCUCAGUGUCGUAGCUAACGCGAUAAGCACACCGCCUG